Numida meleagris (helmeted guineafowl) is the source of this 3888-nucleotide long non-coding RNA. RefSeq lists it as uncharacterized. The record is from RefSeq and is a predicted model, not a curated record. Lineage: Eukaryota; Metazoa; Chordata; Aves; Galliformes; Numididae. The transcript has 3 exons.
AGAGUUCCAACUAAAAAUAGAGAGCAGCAAUGCCAGCAGCCAACGGUCAGCGCUCCCGCUCCCAGUGACAGCACUAAUAACUGCAGCCGCUUCAGAAAGGUGGGUGGCCCAAUAAAAGAGGCCCCGGGGUGCAGUUCUGCCCGCCUCGGCCGCGCCGCCGACUUUUCCCAGCCGGCCGGGAAACCGCCGCAGCGAGGCACAGCGCCGAGCCGGAGCCCCGCACGUGCGGCGCGCAGUCCCGCGGACCCAGCGCCCGCCCGCCGCCCACGGCCCUCAGACGGAGCCCGGGUGCGCGGGGGGGGGGGUGCUCGCCGUUCCCCCACCCCCUCCGCAGCCUCGCCGAGCCUCGGAUUCCGCCCUUACCCAGAGCGUGAGGGGGACACGAGAAGGGGCAGACAAAAGUGCUCACUAUAUGUUUGCAAAGAAACUACUUGUGCAUCAGCUAAAGCAGUGAGUGUGCCCAUACCUGCUCCUUCAUCCAGGAAAAAGGGCAGCUGUUUUCUUCCAAGGUGCGGGUUUUCCUUCACCUUCCUCCUCCCACCGAAACCAGUAUUUUCUCACAACGCUCCGUCACAAAGAAUGACAUUUUUCAGUAGGAGUUCGGUUGCUUUUUCCCCCAAACACACUGCCUGUUGAUAGAAACACAUAACCAGUGAGAAAUGGGCGGAAGCUGCUCUGUGACACGAGGCCUUGGCGCUGCUGGGGACGCCAUGCCAGGAGCUGAGCUGUGCUGGCUGCCCCCAAGGUGUCCCACAUCUUCCUCACACCCAGGUACCACAAACACCUCAGCAGCAGGGAUGGGGAUAAGGAUUCCAUGGGGUUCUCCAUUUUCCCUUGUGCCAACACCAAAUCUGCCAUAGGAAAUACAGUUGCUACAGUCUAUAUGCAGAUGGAACCAACAAAGCAUCCCCUUGGAAAUCACAAGCGAGCUGUAAAUCACAUGCAAGCACUUAACCAAUAGAUGUUUAAAACUUGCUUUUCCUUUCAGAGGUUCCCCAGACAGUGGCCACAUCCUAAUGGAUUUGCCUUGCUGUAUGUUCUGCGGCCACAAUUGAGAUUUCUUCUUGGUGCCCCAUGGACCCCUGCCCAUCUCAAACAGUGGGACCAAAUGCUCAGGAAAUCUUUUGGGACCUGAUGGUUACCAGGGGUAUUUGGAGAAAAUUAAAUUUGGCCAGCUGUGAAAAGAAGCCUGACCUCCAUGCUGAGGAAGCUGCCUCCCACCUUUCUGCCAGCCCUGCAAGAAUUCCUCCAGCAAAACCAGGGAAAGCAAAGCUGCGACAUUCCCGAAACGUCUGACAUGCAUUUGUUAGAAAGUAAAAAACAGGUUAAAAAUAACCUUAUCAGGCCUCACUUUUUUUCCCGUUUCUUGUUGGAAGAAAGAGGGACUCCCUUCAGAGAAGGCUGUAUGCUCCCAGCACAGAGGACUCCAAGCACAGAGCCAAUGCCCCGUAUCACCUAAAUUUUCUUAUGUAAACCUGAGCAAGUCAUAGUGUAGCAUUUCCUCAGUUUCCCCUUCAUAAAAGGGGCAGGGAAAAUAACUUUCCUUUCAUCCUUUCUGCGUAAUGUAGAGAAAGCCACAGCAGGUCUGGGGCCUGGCUGUGCAAAGAAGGAAGGGGAGAAAUGUAGACUGCAAGCCCAGCACUCCCCCCGAAGCUACAGGCAGGCCAGCUCUUGUUUUCUGCCAUUGUUGUCAUCCCUGACAGAGAAAGAAGGGAAGUGCAGAGGCUUAGAAGGGAAAACAAAGAGCCCAGCUGUAUCUGAACUCCCAGGGAUGUCCUCCAGGAUAACCUUGCCAUCCCACCACAGCUGGAAAACUUGGCUCAACUGAAAUGCUCUAAAUGCUUUCUACAUAUUUACUCCUUCUGGAUUUCUCCCUCCUACUCCAGUUUACAGCAUCCUCCUCUCCCAGCUGCCAGAAUUGUCUGAGCUCCUGUAGAGCUAAACACUUAAUGACAACUGCAGAAGCCCCUAAAGUGAAUUUACUGCCUUAUAAAUGACACACAGGUUUAUUUUAUGGCGAAUAUCAGUACCGAGACAUGCAUCUUUACUUCUCUUGGGCAGCACUGUUUACUGAAGACAAAGUCACUGGAUCCAAACAGGUUGAGGAGGUUCUGUGGCGAUUUGUGAAGGGGAUGUAAAGAGAACAGUAAGAAAAAGACAGCAAGCAACAACAGUUUCCUCCUCUACCUCUAAGGCCACAGGACAGUCACUUUCCUUUUCCAGCAUCUCAGAUAUACAUCUUCAUACUUCCUCAUCCAUCUUUCAGAUAGAAAGCAGCCUCAAGCUAAACAUAUAUAGGGAUUUUUAGUCCUUCUCACUGUUUAUCACAAGUGAAGAUGUGUAUAGAUAAUCUAGAGUAAGUUAGAAAUGACUGAGGUAAAUACUGUCUGGAUGCAGGUUCCCUCAUCUCCUCUAAAAAAAAAAAAAAAAACAGACACGAGAAGGACAACAUAUACAUACAAGAGCUGUAGUUAAGAUUACACCUCCCAGGAAGACAACUGAAGAAACCUUAGCAAGGGGUGGGUGAGGUCAUGGACUCAUCAGGACACACUUCAGAAAGCUCAGGCCAUCCGCCAGACUCUAUGGGCAGCACUCAAUAGCUUCUCCAACACCAGUUGCUCACAUGCUGCCUGUUGGUAACGGUAACAUUUUCCCUCUUCUUUUAUCCAUCGUGCUGGUUCAGACCACCAUUCCCUGCAAAAGGUAGCGCAGCGCAAGCGAGGCCUAAGGUUACAGAGGAUUUUUAGGCAAUGCUUUGGAAAAAGUGGCUUCUUAGUGUUAAACAACGCGUAGCGUUCAGAACUAAAUAACUGCACUGCCAUUAAUUAGAGCUGCCUGACAUAGUGAGAGAGUGUUACCAUCAUCUCCUGCACCACUGGCUGGGAGCGGGUGAUGGCUAAAUAUCAAGGAGGCUACUUUCAUGGAGCCAAGACAGCCAAGAAAAAGAGCUCAGCUGCAUUAUAGAUAUAACUGUAGAAAAUGAUGCAUGUAUCAACUGGAAUACUUUCCUUCGUAGGCAGAGCUCAAGUGCCAUGCCUGGAAUUACAGCCCUUGCAUUUCUAGUGCAGCCAUUUCCAGCAUCCAUCGUGACCCCAGAGAGGUUAUGGCAGCUACAGACUGGAAGAUCUGGAGACACCGUGAAUCAAGAGAUCAGAGUACAAUGGGACAGAGCCUUCCCAGAGAAGUGAGCUAAAGGAGAGGUGGCUGACAAGUUUGCAAGAGGAAAAUACUAAAAAAAAAAAAAAAGUAUGAAAAGUGUCCUAGUGGUAUCAAUUGAAACAACACUUAAGGGUAUUCUGUGUUAGUGAGAUGGUGAGGGUAAAAGGGCCUGUUCCCAAAGCCUCCUGCAGGCUAGCAGAGGGGCUGGCACUGCCUGAGGAGGAGGAACAUGUCACCAUAAAAAGUUCUGAAAACAUAAAAAUAGUUCAGUGGGUUUUCUGGUGGUGAUUCUUGGACUCUGAAUGCUUUUCUGGUCAUAACUACACUCCCUGCUGCAGAUACCAGAAAAGCAGUCAUCGCAUUUCUCUGCGCUGCACAAGUAAGAGUUGCUGUUUAAACCUCCAUACCAGCUACCUUUGCAGAGCUGCUUAUAAAAUUAACUAUUCCUGGUGCUGGAGCCACACUUUCUUUCUAGUUCUCAGUAAAGGUUUUGUUCCAAAGAGAGAAAAAAUUAUCCCUUCGGUGGGAAACAUGGGAACUAUGAAAGGAGAGUGAUUCUGUCUGAAGAGACAAAGUCAGUCGCAGUUGUCUUUUGCCCUAUGCUCUUUGCGAAGAGCCAUCUUUUAUUACAGGCAACUCCAAUAUUUCAGUGGAAAUCCAAAGCGCCAGUAAAAAUUAAAGGAGUCAGUGCAGAGAAAAGUAUUCAAGGAGUACUGUAAAAAUCCCCAA